This 248-nucleotide ribosomal RNA is filed under the name uncultured bacterium. RNAcentral's name for it is "partial 16S ribosomal RNA". It matches the Rfam family "Bacterial small subunit ribosomal RNA", at positions 524 to 770 of the family's 1533-position model. The record is from RNAcentral.
UACGUAGGGGGCAAGCGUUGUCCGGAAUCAUUGGGCGUAAAGAGCGUGUAGGCGGCUCGAUAAGUCCGCUGUGAAAGUCCAGGGCUCAACCCUUGAAUGCCGGUGGAUACUGCAGGGCUAGAGUCCGGAAGAGGCGAGUGGAAUUCCUGGUGUAGCGGUGAAAUGCGCAGAUAUCGGGAGGAACACCAAUGGCGAAGGCAGCUCGCUGGGACGUUACUGACGCUGAGACGCGAAAAGCGUGGGAGGCA